Molecule: long non-coding RNA, 607 nt
Organism: Oncorhynchus gorbuscha (pink salmon)
Lineage: Eukaryota; Metazoa; Chordata; Actinopteri; Salmoniformes; Salmonidae
Exons: 4
Source: RefSeq, a predicted model, not a curated record
UGACGUCAUAACUGAGCUGUGAACAGUGAGAAGUAGAUCUGUCAUCCGCAGGAGGAAGUACAUGUAUUGGAGGAUAAUGGUUAUUGUCAUUUCUCAACUACAAUCUGUCUGUCUCAGGCCUUUCUUUGUGUAACCGCAAAAACAAUGGAAACAGUGUUUGGGUCAUGUAGAAUAAGAACACACACCAGCUUGGCCACGUAGUUCACCACCAGCACGUCGAUCUUCUUCUUCCCCAGGCGAGGCAGGUGUCUGUUGAGGUGCUCUCUCAGCUUGUCCACCAUCUAUAGGAAACACAACACUUCACAUUGAAGGAAGGAGAGUGGAGCAGGAGCCUACUGGGACUUACAUACACACUGCAGGCCUAUGAGCGCCCUCUGCUGGCUGUCCUCCUCCUGGAACAACGGAACCACUUUCUGGUCUGCAGAGGAACAACAUAACACCGUGGAUUUAGACUUUUCAUUACAUCUCAAAGAGUUGGACAUAAGGCAAAACAAACAGUCAUGAGUCAGGACGAGGAAGAGGAUCGCCUAAUGAUUUAAGAGAGAUGAGCUUCCAUGUCUUCUCCCUGGACCUCCUCAAUGUCCACCUCUUAAACAUCAGACUGAGG